This 938-nucleotide ribosomal RNA is filed under the name uncultured bacterium. RNAcentral's name for it is "bacterial SSU rRNA". It matches the Rfam family "Bacterial small subunit ribosomal RNA", at positions 8 to 949 of the family's 1533-position model. The record is from RNAcentral.
AGAGUUUGAUCAUGGCUCAGAACGAACGCUGGCGGCGUGCUUAACACAUGCAAGUCGAGUGCGCGGUUGUAGCAAUACAACUGGCGCACGGCGCACGGGUGCGUAACACGUGGGCAAUCUGCCCUCCGAUGGGGAAUAACCCCGCGAAAGCGGGGCUAAUACCGCAUAACAUUCCGGGGACCUCGGUUCCUGGACUCAAAGGCGUAAGUCGUCGGAGGUGGAGCCCGCGCCCGAUUAGCUAGUUGGUGAGGUAACGGCUCACCAAGGCAAUGAUCGGUAGCUGGUCUGAGAGGAUGGCCAGCCACACUGGAACUGAGACACGGUCCAGACUCCUACGGGAGGCAGCAGUGGGGAAUCUUGCGCAAUGGGCGAAAGCCUGACGCAGCGACGCCGCGUGGGGGAUGAAGCAUCUCGGUGUGUAAACCCCUUUCGACUGGGACGAAUGCCUCGCAAGAGGAGUGACGGUACCAGUAGAAGAAGCCCCGGCUAACUACGUGCCAGCAGCCGCGGUAAGACGUAGGGGGCCAGCGUUGUUCGGAAUUACUGGGUGUAAAGGGUUCGUAGGCGGUGUAGCAAGUCGGGAGUGAAAUCUCUGGGCUUAACCCAGAGGCUGCUUCCGAAACUGCUGUGCUGGAGUGUGGGAGAGGCGCGUGGAAUUGCAGGUGUAGCGGUGAAAUGCGUAGAUAUCUGCAGGAACACCCGUGGCGAAGGCGGCGCGCUGGACCACUACUGACGCUGAGGAACGAAAGCUAGGGGAGCAAACAGGAUUAGAUACCCUGGUAGUCCUAGCCCUAAACGAUCAGGACUUGGGGUGCCACCCGUUCGGGUGUCGUCCCGGAGCUAACGCGUUAAGUCCUGCACCUGGGGGAGUACGGUCGCAGACUGAAACUCAAAGGAAUUGACGGGGGCCCGCACAAGCGGUGGAACAUGUGGUUCAA